RNAcentral lists this ribosomal RNA (460 nucleotides) under uncultured bacterium. Its description in RNAcentral is "partial 16S ribosomal RNA". It matches the Rfam family "Bacterial small subunit ribosomal RNA", at positions 338 to 795 of the family's 1533-position model. The record is from RNAcentral.
CCUACGGGUGGCAGCAGUGAGGAAUAUUGGUCAAUGGGCGCAAGCCUGAACCAGCCAAGUCGCGUGAGGGAAGACGGCCCUACGGGUUGUAAACCUCUUUUGCCGGGGAGCAAGCCUGAGCACGUGUGCCCAGGCGGAGAUUCCCCGGAGAAAAAGCAUCGGCAAACUCCGUGCCAGCAGCCGCGGUAAUACGGAGGAUGCGAGCGUUACACGGUUUUAUUGGGUUUACAGGGUGCGCAGGCGGGCUGUUAAGCCAGCGGUAAAAAUUCAGGGCUCAACCCUGUCGAGCCGUCGAAACUGGCAGCCUUGAGUGGGCGAGAAGUAUGCGGAAUGCGUGGUGUAGCGGUGAAAUGCAUAGAUAUCACGCAGAACGCCGAUUGCGAAGGCAGCAUACCGGCGCCCGACUGACGCUGAGGCACGAAAGCGUGGGGAUCGAACAGGAUUAGAUACCCUUGUAGUC